UACGUAGGGGGCAAGCGUUGUCCGGAUUUAUUGGGCGUAAAGAGCGUGUAGGCGGCUUGGUAGGUCCGCUGUGAAAACUCGAGGCUCAACCUCGAGAUGUCGGCGGAAACCACUUGGCUAGAGUCCGGAAGAGGAGAGUGGAAUUCCUGGUGUAGCGGUGGAAUGCGCAGAUAUCAGGAAGAACACCUAUGGCGAAGGCAGCUCUCUGGGACGGUACUGACGCUGAGACGCGAAAGCGUGGGGAGCGAACAGG
RNAcentral lists this ribosomal RNA (253 nucleotides) under uncultured bacterium. Its description in RNAcentral is "partial 16S ribosomal RNA". It matches the Rfam family "Bacterial small subunit ribosomal RNA", at positions 524 to 776 of the family's 1533-position model. The record is from RNAcentral.